AUUGAACGCUGGCGGCAGGCCUAACACAUGCAAGUCGAGCGGUAACACAGAGGAGCUUGCUCCUUGGGUGACGAGCGGCGGACGGGUGAGUAAUGCCUGGGGAUCUGCCCGAUAGAGGGGGAUAACUACGGGAAACUGUAGCUAAUACCGCAUAAUGUCUACGGACCAAAGCGGGGGCUCUUCGGACCUCAUGCUAUCGGAUGAACCCAGGUGGGAUUAGCUAGUUGGUGAGGUAAUGGCUCACCAAGGCGACGAUCUCUAACUGGUUUGAGAGAAUGACCAGUCACACUGGAACUGAGACACGGUCCAGACUCCUACGGGAGGCAGCAGUGGGGAAUAUUGCACAAUGGGCGCAAGCCUGAUGCAGCCAUGCCGCGUGUGUGAAGAAGGCCUUCGGGUUGUAAAGCACUUUCAGCGGGGAGGAAGGGUCACUAGUUAAUACCUAGUGGCAUUGACGUUACUCGCAGAAGAAGCACCGGCUAACUCCGUGCCAGCAGCCGCGGUAAUACGGAGGGUGCAAGCGUUAAUCGGAAUUACUGGGCGUAAAGCGCACGCAGGCGGUUUGUUAANUCANAUGUGAAAUCCCCGAGCUCAACUUGGGAACUGCAUUUGAAACUGGCAAGCUAGAGUCUUGUAGAGGGGGGUAGAAUUCCNGG
RNAcentral lists this ribosomal RNA (656 nucleotides) under uncultured prokaryote. Its description in RNAcentral is "bacterial SSU rRNA". It matches the Rfam family "Bacterial small subunit ribosomal RNA", at positions 28 to 673 of the family's 1533-position model. The record is from RNAcentral.